AUUGAACGCUGGCGGGAUGCCUUACACAUGCAAGUCGAACGGCAGCACGGACUUCGGUCUGGUGGCGAGUGGCGAACGGGUGAGUAAAGUAUCGGAACGUACCCAGUAGCGGGGGAUAACUACGCGAAAGCGUAGCUAAUACCGCAUACGUCCUACGGGAGAAAGCGGGGGACCUUCGGGCCUCGCACUAUUGGAGCGGCCGAUAUCGGAUUAGCUAGUUGGUGGGGUAAAGGCCUACCAAGGCGACGAUCCGUAGCUGGUUUGAGAGGACGACCAGCCACACUGGGACUGAGACACGGCCCAGACUCCUAUGGGAGGCAGCAGUGGGGAAUUUUGGACAAUGGGGGCAACCCUGAUCCAGCCAUCCCGCGUGUGCGAUGAAGGCCUUCGGGUUGUAAAGCACUUUUGGCAGGGAAGAAACGGACCUGGAUAAUACCUGGGUCAACUGACGGUACCUGCAGAAUAAGCACCGGCUAACUACGUGCCAGCAGCCGCGGUAAUACGUAGGGUGCAAGCGUUAAUCGGAAUUACUGGGCGUAAAGCGUGCGCAGGCGGUUCGGAAAGAAAGAUGUGAAAUCCCAGAGCUUAACUUUGGAACUGCAUUUUUAACUACCGAGCUAGAGUGUGUCAGAGGGAGGUGGAAUUCCGCGUGUAGCAGUGAAAUACGUAGAGAUGCGGAGGAACACCGAUGGCGAAAGGCAGCCUCCUGGGAUAACACUGACGCUCAUGCACGAAAGCGUGGGGGGAGCAAACAGGAUUAGAUACCCUGGUAGUCCACGCCCUAAACGAUGUCAACUAGCUGUUGGGGGCUUCGGCCCUUGGUAGCGCAGCUAACGCGUGAAGUUGACCGCCUGGGGAGUACGGUCGCAAGAUUAAAACUCAAAGGAAUUGACGGGGACCCGCACAAGCGGUGGAUGAUGUGGAUUAAUUCGAUGCAACGCGAAAAACCUUACCUACCCUUGACAUGUCUGGAAGGCCGAAGAGAUUUGGCUGUGCUCGCAAGAGAACCGGAACACAGGUGCUGCAUGGCUGUCGUCAGCUCGUGUCGUGAGAUGUUGGGUUAAGUCCCGCAACGAGCGCAACCCUUGUCAUUAGUUGCUACGAAAGGGCACUCUAAUGAGACUGCCGGUGACAAACCGGAGGAAGGUGGGGAUGACGUCAAGUCCUCAUGGCCCUUAUGGGUAGGGCUUCACACGUCAUACAAUGGUCGGGACAGAGGGUCGCCAACCCGCGAGGGGGAGCCAAUCCCAGAAACCCGAUCGUAGUCCGGAUCGCAGUCUGCAACUCGACUGCGUGAAGUCGGAAUCGCUAGUAAUCGCGGAUCAGCAUGUCGCGGUGAAUACGUUCCCGGGUCUUGCACUCACCGCC
Molecule: ribosomal RNA, 1368 nt
Filed under: uncultured bacterium
Lineage: Bacteria
Description: bacterial SSU rRNA
Rfam family: Bacterial small subunit ribosomal RNA
Source: RNAcentral